This 397-nucleotide ribosomal RNA is filed under the name uncultured bacterium. Its description in RNAcentral is "partial 16S ribosomal RNA". It matches the Rfam family "Bacterial small subunit ribosomal RNA", at positions 523 to 918 of the family's 1533-position model. The record is from RNAcentral.
AUACGUAGGGGGCGAGCGUUGUCCGGAAUGAUUGGGCGUAAAGGGCGCGUAGGCGGCCCGGUAAGUCUGGAGUGAAAGUCCUGCUUUUAAGGUGGGAAUUGCUUUGGAUACUGUCGGGCUUGAGUGCAGGAGAGGUAAGUGGAAUUCCCAGUGUAGCGGUGAAAUGCGUAGAGAUUGGGAGGAACACCAGUGGCGAAGGCGACUUACUGGACUGUAACUGACGCUGAGGCGCGAAAGUGUGGGGAGCAAACAGGAUUAGAUACCCUGGUAGUCCUCACUGUAAACGAUGAAUGCUAGGUGUAGGGGGUAUCGACCCCUUCUGUGCCGCAGUCAACACAAUAAGCAUUCCGCCUGGGGAGUACGGCCGCAAGGUUGAAACUCAAAUGAAUUGACGGGG